Molecule: long non-coding RNA, 1961 nt
Organism: Pogona vitticeps (central bearded dragon)
Lineage: Eukaryota; Metazoa; Chordata; Lepidosauria; Squamata; Agamidae
Source: Ensembl
UAUUUAUUUAUAUUCCACCCACUCUACCCAAAGGUCUCUGGGCAGUUUACAACAAUUAAAAUUCAAUUAAAAUACAAUAAUAUUUGUCACCUUUUACUUUUGUUUCUCACCUGUCUUUCAAAAUUUUAAUUGUUUCUGCCAUAAUUCAUCUAGGUUUCUGUUUUCAUUUUACUACAGGUGUUAAAUUUUUGCGUCUUUCUCCAAAACUGUCUCUGGUUUCAAUGUAUAGUUCUUCUGGUUCAUAGUCAGUUGAGGUUAGUAAUGGAAAUUUGUUCAUUACGUAGACUUUAAAUUAAUCAGGAAUGUUCUUUCAAUUAUAUUUUGACACUAUGAUAUGGUUUGCUUAGAUCUCAAGUCCAUUUUAUCGAUGAAAGCUUGCUACUUUUAUUUUUUAGUGGGCCAAUGAAAGGUAUCACCUACUCUGUAUUUGUGUAAUCUCCAGGACUACACCAGCUCUUUCCUUUUUUUGUUAUGAUUCUUUUAUUGUAGUUUUUCAGUUUUACUCUAAUAAUGGAUAUUGACAGUUCAUAAUCAGUACCACAAUCUCCUCCUGGUCUUGUUUUGGCAGAAAGAAUAAAGCUUCUCCAUCUCCUUCCAAUUACAUCAUCUAUUUGAUUUGCAUACUUGAUUUGUGAUGUCCACAUAUACUGUCAUCUAUUCAGUUGAUUGAAGCAUGUGUUUGCAAUUAACAGAUUGUUGACUUCGCAAAAUUCUAUGAGUCAUUCUAUUGCUUCAUUUCUAUCCCCAAGGCCUAAUUUUCCAAGAUUUGAUUCUGUUUUGUUCUCUUCAGUAGCGUUACAAGGGGAAAAAAACUAUAAAUCUCUGUCAAAAGGAUGACAGAAUCCUCUCUGUUAACAGCAGGCUGAAGUCAGAAUGUUCCCAGGAGCACCCAUGUACACGAGCAACUCUGGGGGAAGCUCAUACUUUGCAAAAGUACUAAACCUUUUAGGAAGGGGUGGAGAAAUUGGGCUGAACACACUGAAACAGCUUUUCCUGCUUGGAAAUGGAAUACCAAGGACUUCUGGUCCCUGUAACUGAGAUAUGUGGAUUUCUUCAACUCACUUUGGUUCCCGCAAUCCCAUGAAUAUCCCACUGGAUUCAGUGAGACUUAUUUCCAGGUAAGUGUGAAUAGGACUGCAGUUGAGCACAAGCUUGUGCGUUCUGCGUUAUUGGGUUUUUGUGUUCAGUACAAUAAUUGUAUGCUGUCAAGUUGAUUCCAAUUUAUUGUGACCCUUGUCAAGGUUUUCUAGGGUAAAGAAUACUCGGAAGUGGUUUUCCAUUUAAUUUUUUAAAUGUAUCUGGUUGGGGAGCCGGAGGUUGGGACUUUGAUUCCCCACUGUGCCUCCUGGGAGAACAGUCAGAAGAAAGGAAUGGGAAACCAUCUCUGAGCAUUCUUUACUUGGAAAACCCUGAAAAGAGUUGCCAUAAAUCAGAAUUGACUUGACAGCACAUUUAUUAAUUAUAUAUAUUUAUUUUUAAUUGUAGAAGUAUGUAUUAAAAAUAGGAUGUAUUGUUAUGCAUCCUUGUGAUAAAACAAAACCAAUGUAUAUGAUUUUUUUGGUAUUUGAUUAAGAGCUGUUGCAUAUGAAAUAAUUAGAUCGGUGCAUUCAGAUGCUGUGUCUGUUUAAUCUGUUGCUUGCAGUGGGAUUGAUCCACGUAUUAGUCCCAACUAUAACAGACCAAUAGAAUGAAUUAGAUCUGUUAGGUCGACACUUAAGUCCCAUUCAUUCUAGAGUAGACCAAUUGAUUAGUCUCUAAUAGAGUAGACCAGUGAUGGUGAAACUUUUUGAGCCCGAGUGCCCAAACUGCAAUACAAAAUCAACUUAUUUAUUUCAAAGUGCCAACACUGCAAUUAAAACCUGAAUGCUGAGGUUUUAGUUUAGAAAAAACAACUGUUCCUGCAUUGCAAGGGCUGAAUGCUUAUUCCCCCCCCCAUGGGCAGUACUGUAUUAACAAAUAAA